ACCUCUUGAGUAUGAGACAGUACAGUUGCCUUCCAAGCAGAAAGAUUAAUAUACUUUAAAGGAGGUAG
Molecule: transfer RNA, 68 nt
Filed under: Rhinocoryne humboldti
Lineage: Eukaryota; Metazoa; Mollusca; Gastropoda; Potamididae
Description: tRNA-Gly
Source: RNAcentral